CGGACGGGUGAGUAAUGUCUGGGAAACUGCCUGAUGGAGGGGGAUAACUGCUGGAAACGGUAGCUAAUACCGCAUAACGUCGCAAGACCAAAGAGGGGGACCUUAGGGCCUCUUGCCAUCGGAUGUGCCCAGAUGGGAUUAGCUUGUUGGUGGGGUAACGGCUCACCAAGGCGACGAUCCCUAGCUGGUCUGAGAGGAUGACCAGCCACACUGGAACUGAGACACGGUCCAG
RNAcentral lists this ribosomal RNA (232 nucleotides) under uncultured bacterium. RNAcentral describes it as "partial 16S ribosomal RNA". It matches the Rfam family "Bacterial small subunit ribosomal RNA", at positions 99 to 334 of the family's 1533-position model. The record is from RNAcentral.